CAAUAGCGUAUAUUAACGUUGUUGCUGUUAAAAAGCUCGUAGUUGGAUUUCUGGAGGGAGCGUCGACCCGUAUUUACGAGUGCGUGACGUCUCUGUCCAUCCUUGCGGGAAGGCACGGCAUUGAUUUGUUGUGUCGGAUCGCAUCAUUUACUGUGAAAAAAUUAGAGUGUUCAAAGCAGGCUUUCGCUUGAAUACAUUAGCAUGGAAUAAUAAGAUAGGACUUUGGUGCUAUUUUGUUGGUUGAGCCUAAAGUAAUGAUUAAUAGGGAUAGUUGGGGGCACCUGUAUUGCGUUGUCAGAGGUGAAAUUCUUGGAUUUACGCAAGACAAACAGCUGCGAAAGCGUCUGCCAAGGAUGUUUUCAUUAA
Molecule: ribosomal RNA, 366 nt
Filed under: uncultured eukaryote
Lineage: Eukaryota
Description: partial 18S ribosomal RNA
Rfam family: Eukaryotic small subunit ribosomal RNA
Source: RNAcentral